RNAcentral lists this ribosomal RNA (220 nucleotides) under uncultured Glomus. RNAcentral's name for it is "partial small subunit ribosomal RNA". It matches the Rfam family "Eukaryotic small subunit ribosomal RNA", at positions 591 to 817 of the family's 1831-position model. The record is from RNAcentral. Lineage: Eukaryota; Fungi; Glomeromycota; Glomeromycetes; Glomerales; Glomeraceae.
CCAAUAGCGUAUAUUAAAGUUGUUGCAGUUAAAAAGCUCGUAGUUGAAUUUCGGGAUCAGCUGAUCGGUCGUGCCUCGGUACGUACUGGUCAAAUUGAUUCCUACCUUCUGACGAACCACGAUGUCAUUAAUUUGAUGUCGUGGGAAAUCAGGACUGUUACUUUGAAAAAAUUAGAGUGUUUAAAGCAGGCUCGCGCUUGAAUACAUUAGCAUGGAAUAA